UACGAAGGGGGCUAGCGUUGCUCGGAAUCACUGGGCGUAAAGGGUGCGUAGGCGGGUCUUUAAGUCAGGGGUGAAAUCCUGGAGCUCAACUCCAGAACUGCCUUUGAUACUGAAGAUCUUGAGUCCGGGAGAGGUGAGUGGAAUUCCUAGUGUAGAGGUGAAAUUCGUAGAUAUUAGGAAGAACACCAGUGGCGAAGGCGGCUCACUGGCCCGGUACUGACGCUGAGGCGCGAAAGCGUGGGGAGCAAACAGG
This 253-nucleotide ribosomal RNA is filed under the name uncultured bacterium. RNAcentral's name for it is "partial 16S ribosomal RNA". It matches the Rfam family "Bacterial small subunit ribosomal RNA", at positions 524 to 776 of the family's 1533-position model. The record is from RNAcentral.